GUUGCUGACGAGUGGCGGACGGGUGAGUAAUGCUUGGGAACUUGCCUUUAGGAGGGGGAAACAGUUGGAAACGACUGCUAAUACCGCAUAACGUCUACGGACCAAAGGGGGCGCUUGCGCUCUCACCUAGAGAGAGGCCCAAGUGAGAUUAGCUAGUUGGUGAGGUAAAAGCUCACCAAGGCGACGAUCUCUAGCUGUUCUGAGAGGAAGAUCAGCCACACUGGGACUGAGACACGGCCCAGACUCCUACGGGAGGCAGCAGUGGGGAAUAUUGCACAAUGGGGGAAACCCUGAUGCAGCCAUGCCGCGUGUGUGAAGAAGGCCUUCGGGUUGUAAAGCACUUUCAGGUGUGAGGAAAGGUUGAUGGUUAAUACCCAUCAGCUGUGACGUUAACACCAGAAGAAGCACCGGCUAACUCCGUGCCAGCAGCCGCGGUAAUACGGAGGGUGCGAGCGUUAAUCGGAAUUACUGGGCGUAAAGCGCACGCAGGCGGUUAUUUAAGCUAGAAGUGAAAGCCCUGGGCUCAACCUGGGAAGGCCUUUUAGAACUGGAUGACUAGAGUCUUGGAGAGGGGAGUGGAAUUCCACGUGUAGCGGUGAAAUGCGUAGAUAUGUGGAGGAACAUCAGUGGCGAAGGCGACUCCCUGGCCAAAGACUGACGCUCAUGUGCGAAAGUGUGGGUAGCGAACAGGAUUAGAUACCCUGGUAGUCCACACCGUAAACGCUGUCUACUAGCUGUUUGUGUAUUUGAUACG
Molecule: ribosomal RNA, 754 nt
Filed under: uncultured bacterium
Lineage: Bacteria
Description: bacterial SSU rRNA
Rfam family: Bacterial small subunit ribosomal RNA
Source: RNAcentral